UCCUACGGGAGGCAGCAGUGGGGAAUUUUGCGCAAUGGGGGAAACCCUGACCCAGCAACGCCGCGUGAAGGAUGAAAUCCCUCGGGAUGUAAACUUCGCAAGAAUGGGAAGAAUUAGUAGGGGACAAUACCCCCUAUGAUGACGGUACCAUUUGUAAGCUCCGGCUAACUCCGUGCCAGCACCGCGGUAA
This 190-nucleotide ribosomal RNA is filed under the name uncultured bacterium. RNAcentral describes it as "partial 16S ribosomal RNA". It matches the Rfam family "Bacterial small subunit ribosomal RNA", at positions 337 to 523 of the family's 1533-position model. The record is from RNAcentral.